This 497-nucleotide ribosomal RNA is filed under the name uncultured bacterium. RNAcentral's name for it is "partial 16S ribosomal RNA". It matches the Rfam family "Bacterial small subunit ribosomal RNA", at positions 28 to 507 of the family's 1533-position model. The record is from RNAcentral.
GAUGAACGCUGGCGGCGUGCCUAAUACAUGCAAGUCGAGCGAACAGACGAGGAGCUUGCUCCUCUGACGUUAGCGGCGGACGGGUGAGUAACACGUGGAUAACCUACCUAUAAGACUGGGAUAACUUCGGGAAACCGGAGCUAAUACCGGAUAAUAUAUUGAACCGCAUGGUUCAAUAGUGAAAGACGGUUUUGCUGUCACUUAUAGAUGGAUCCGCGCCGCAUUAGCUAGUUGGUAAGGUAACGGCUUACCAAGGCAACGAUGCGUAGCCGACCUGAGAGGGUGAUCGGCCACACUGGAACUGAGACACGGUCCAGACUCCUACGGGAGGCAGCAGUCGGGAAUCUUGCGCAAUGGGCGAAAGCCUGACGGAGCAAGGCCGCGUGAGUGAUGAAGGUCUUCGGAUCGUAAACCUCUGUUAUUAGGGAAGAACAAAUGUGUAAGUAACUAUGCACGUCUUGACGGUACCUAAUCAGAAAGCCACGGCUAACUACGUG